Molecule: non-coding RNA, 582 nt
Organism: Pelobates cultripes (western spadefoot toad)
Lineage: Eukaryota; Metazoa; Chordata; Amphibia; Anura; Pelobatidae
Source: the annotation of a GenBank genome assembly
UGUGUGCGUUUACAAGAUCACUGCCACUUGAGGAACAAAGAAGGUGCACACUAGGAGAACUCGCCUGCCACUCGCUCUAAUUGACAGCCAGUGAGGCGUUUCUGCAAUUAUUUUUAAAAGUCACAAUUUCAAAUAGAAAUCAGCACUUUUAGAAACUGCAAUUAAAAUGAGCAUAUACUCAGACAUAAAGCACUUCAGCUUAUAUGUGUUUGGAGGGAUCCUAUAAUAGAUAUAUUAAAAGGCAGAAAUAUUUGUAUAGUUCCAGCUCACAAAGUAUCAUUUUUAGCAGUAAUCUUUAAAUCUUUGUUCAAGUGAAAGCAGUUUUUCAGACUCAGUAUAAAAUACCAGCCCUGGAUUCUAACUCUCCUUAAUUUCAUAAUUAACGUCUUUGUCAUAAAAAUAUCAAAUGCAUGCUGACGUUUACACCAUGUGACCCAGCAAGCAUUGUUACUUUAGCAUGCCCUGACAAUUAAAAUGUACAAUUUUAACGUAUAGAUUCCGAGUCACUUUGCCUCCUGUACAAAGUUCAGAAACUGAACAUUUAUUAUUUUACAUCAGUUUGAAUAAAAAUGAUUUAUUCUA